GCGAAAGUGGCGGAAUUGGCAGACGCACCAGACUUAGGAUCUGGCGCCGUGAGGCGUGGGGGUUCGAGUCCCCCCUUUCGCACCA
RNAcentral lists this transfer RNA (85 nucleotides) under Blastocatellia bacterium. RNAcentral's name for it is "tRNA-Leu". It matches the Rfam family "tRNA". Rfam says of the family: Transfer RNA (tRNA) molecules are approximately 80 nucleotides in length. Lineage: Bacteria; Pseudomonadati; Acidobacteriota; Blastocatellia. RNAcentral also lists the same sequence under 1 other name. The record is from RNAcentral.